This 253-nucleotide ribosomal RNA is filed under the name uncultured bacterium. Its description in RNAcentral is "partial 16S ribosomal RNA". It matches the Rfam family "Bacterial small subunit ribosomal RNA", at positions 524 to 776 of the family's 1533-position model. The record is from RNAcentral.
GACGGAGGGUGCUAGCGUUGUUCGGAAUGACUGGGCGUAAAGGGCGCGUAGGCGGCUUUGUAAGUUAGAGGUGAAAGCCCGGAGCUCAACUCCGGAACUGCCUUUAAAACUGCAUCGCUUGAAUCCAGGAGAGGUGAGUGGAAUUCCGAGUGUAGAGGUGAAAUUCGUAGAUAUUCGGAAGAACACCAGUGGCGAAGGCGGCUCACUGGACUGGUAUUGACGCUGAGGUGCGAAAGCGUGGGGAGCAAACAGG